CGGCCUUAGUCCGGCGUCGGCCGGUCAUCGGAAAUCGCUCUGGCCACCAGCCAUCGGCGGCGACGCCGCCGUAUGCGGUGGUCAGAGAGCCAAAAAUUUCAGAUCUGAACCUUCUAAAGCCUUUAAACUCGAAUCUAAUCCUGAGAUUGCCAAAAUAUUUAUGGAGAGGGCCCAAAUCUCGAGAAAACCUUCCGAUUUUCGGCCGUCAAUCCUCGGUGACGGCUUCCUCGGCCAUCCACGGCGGUUCUGACUCAAACAAAGGUGAAGAUCGGGGCUGAUUUGGAGGCUUGCGGCGCUGUGGAAAUCCUAGGGUUUCUGUCUGUUUCGAGCCGUGUUUGGUUUGGGCCACUGAAUUUGGGCCACUGUUUUACAUUGGUUUUUGGGCUUUGUGGCCCGUUUGUAAUUUUGUUGCAAUUGGACUAGUAUUUAUUUGUGGCCCUUUUAUUAUUUUAUUAUUUUUUUAUA
Gossypium raimondii (Peruvian cotton) is the source of this 465-nucleotide long non-coding RNA. RefSeq lists it as uncharacterized. The transcript has 2 exons. The record is from RefSeq and is a predicted model, not a curated record. Lineage: Eukaryota; Viridiplantae; Streptophyta; Magnoliopsida; Malvales; Malvaceae.